GAUGAACGCUAGCGGGAGGCCUAACACAUGCCAGCCGAGCGGUAUUUGUUCUUCGGUGCAGCGAGAGCGGCGCACGGGUGCGGAACACGUGUGCAACCUGCCUUUAUCUGGGGGAUAGCCUUUCGAAAGGAAGAUUAAUACCCCAUAAUAUAUUUAUUGGCAUCAUUUGAUAUUGAAAACUCCGGUGGAUAGAGAUGGGCACGCGCAAGAUUAGAUAGUGGGUGAGGUAACGGCUCACCAAGUCAAUGAGCUUUAGGGGGCCUGAGAGGGUGAACCCCCACACUGAUACUGGGACAAGGACCAGACGCCUACGGGAGGCAGCAGUGAGGAAGAUUGGACAAUGGGUUAGCGCCUGAACCAGCCAGCCCGCGUGAAGGACGACGGCACUAUGGGAUGUAAACUUCUUUUGUAUAGGAAUAAACCUGCUAUCGUGAGAGUAGCGGAAGGUACUAUACGAAUAAGCACCGGCAAACUCCGG
Molecule: ribosomal RNA, 478 nt
Filed under: uncultured bacterium
Lineage: Bacteria
Description: partial 16S ribosomal RNA
Rfam family: Bacterial small subunit ribosomal RNA
Source: RNAcentral